RNAcentral lists this ribosomal RNA (241 nucleotides) under uncultured Lactobacillus sp. RNAcentral's name for it is "partial 16S ribosomal RNA". It matches the Rfam family "Bacterial small subunit ribosomal RNA", at positions 125 to 355 of the family's 1533-position model. Lineage: Bacteria; Bacillati; Bacillota; Bacilli; Lactobacillales; Lactobacillaceae. The record is from RNAcentral.
CCUCGCCCCAUAGUCUGGGAUACCACUUGGAAACAGGUGCUAAUACCGGAUAAGAAAGCAGAUCGCAUGAUCAGCUUUUAAAAGGCGGCGUAAGCUGUCGCUAUGGGGAUGGCCCCGCGGUGCAUUAGCUAGUUGGUAAGGUAAAGGCUUACCAAGGCGAUGAUGCAUAGCCGAGUUGAGAGACUGAUCGGCCACAUUGGNGACUUAGACACGGGCCCAAACUCCACGGGAGGCAGCAGCU